RNAcentral lists this transfer RNA (73 nucleotides) under Candidatus Woesearchaeota archaeon. RNAcentral's name for it is "tRNA-Gln". It matches the Rfam family "tRNA". From Rfam's summary of the family: Transfer RNA (tRNA) molecules are approximately 80 nucleotides in length. Their secondary structure includes four short double-helical elements and three loops (D, anti-codon, and T loops). Further hydrogen bonds mediate the characteristic L-shaped molecular structure. tRNAs have two regions of fundamental functional importance: the anti-codon, which is responsible for specific mRNA codon recognition, and the 3' end, to which the tRNAs corresponding amino acid is attached (by aminoacyl-tRNA synthetases). tRNAs cope with the degeneracy of the genetic code in two manners: having more than one tRNA (with a specific anti-codon) for a particular amino acid; and 'wobble' base-pairing, i.e. permitting non-standard base-pairing at the 3rd anti-codon position. Lineage: Archaea; Nanobdellati; Candidatus Woesearchaeota. The record is from RNAcentral.
AGUCCCGUAGUGUAGCGGCCAAUCAUUUGGGACUCUGGAUCCCAAGACGGCGGUUCGAAUCCGCCCGGGACUA